UGGGGAAUAUUGGACAAUGGGCGAAAGCCUGAUCCAGCCAUGCCGCGUGUGUGAAGAAGGUCUUCGGAUUGUAAAGCACUUUAAGUUUGGGAGGAAGGGCAGUAAGUUAAUACCUUGCUGUUUUGACGUUACCAACAGAAUAAGCACCGGCUAACUUCGUGCCAGCAGCCGCGGUAAUACGAAGGGUGCAAGCGUUAAUCGGAAUUACUGGGCGUAAAGCGCGCGUAGGUGGUUCAGCAAGUUGGAUGUGAAAUCCCCGGGCUCAACCUGGGAACUGCAUCCAAAACUACUGAGCUAGAGUACGGUAGAGGGUGGUGGAAUUUCCUGUGUAGCGGUGAAAUGCGUAGAUAUAGGAAGGAACACCAGUGGCGAAGGCGACCACCUGGACUGAUACUGACACUGAGGUGCGAAAACGUGGGGAGCAAACAGGAUUAGAUACCCUGGUAGUCCACGCCGUAAACGAUGUCGACUAGCCGUUGGGAUCCUUGAGAUCUUAGUGGCGCAGCUAACGCGAUAAGUCGACCGCCUGGGGAGUACGACCGCAAGGUUA
This 550-nucleotide ribosomal RNA is filed under the name uncultured bacterium. RNAcentral describes it as "bacterial SSU rRNA". It matches the Rfam family "Bacterial small subunit ribosomal RNA", at positions 355 to 896 of the family's 1533-position model. The record is from RNAcentral.